Molecule: non-coding RNA, 29 nt
Filed under: Homo sapiens (human)
Lineage: Eukaryota; Metazoa; Chordata; Mammalia; Primates; Hominidae
Source: RNAcentral
UGGCCGAUACCUUAGUGCUUCCUGAAGGG